GACGAACGCUGGCGGCGUGCUUAACACAUGCAAGUCGAACGGAAAGGCCCUGCUUUUGUGGGGUGCUCGAGUGGCGAACGGGUGAGUAACACGUGAGUAACCUGCCCUUGACUUUGGGAUAACUUCAGGAAACUGGGGCUAAUACCGGAUAGGAGCUCUUGCUGCACGGUGGGGGUUGGAAAGUUUCGGCGGUUGGGGAUGGACUCGCGGCUUAUCAGCUUGUUGGUGGGGUAGUGGCUUACCAAGGCUUUGACGGGUAGCCGGCCUGAGAGGGUGACCGGCCACAUUGGGACUGAGAGACGGCCCAGACUCCUACGGGAGGCAGCAGUGGGGAAUAUUGCACAAUGGGCGGAAGCCUGAUGCAGCAACGCCGCGUGCGGGAUGACGGCCUUCGGGUUGUAAACCGCUUUCGCCUGUAACGAAGCGUGAGUGACGGUAAUGGGUAAAGAAGCACCGGCUAACUACGUG
Molecule: ribosomal RNA, 468 nt
Filed under: uncultured bacterium
Lineage: Bacteria
Description: partial 16S ribosomal RNA
Rfam family: Bacterial small subunit ribosomal RNA
Source: RNAcentral